Long non-coding RNA from Corythoichthys intestinalis (scribbled pipefish), 467 nucleotides. RefSeq lists it as uncharacterized. The transcript is spliced from 3 exons. The record is from RefSeq and is a predicted model, not a curated record. Lineage: Eukaryota; Metazoa; Chordata; Actinopteri; Syngnathiformes; Syngnathidae.
GAUUUACCGUCAAACUACGAAUCUUGGGGAUAAAGUUUACGUGCUCGAUGAAGCAAGCCACGCGUAGGAGGAACUGCAGAAGAAAAUGAAGACCGUCCUAGUUGCUAUUUUCGUCUUUAUACUGCUCGGCCAGGGUAAGGCUCUGAAGUGUGUCUGCGGAGGAGAACGUCAGUGUCCACAAUCGACAGAAACCUGCGCUGGUGACAAUGAUGUCUGUGCCACUGUUUUUCCCAUUGGUUCAGGUGCCACUAAAUUCAAAGGCUGCAAUACAUGGAAUGAAUGCAUGAGAUCGUCUGAUACCACCCAUGUACGUUUCUGCUGCACGACUGAUUUCUGCAACCGUCUUCUUUGAUGGAUCAAAAAAAAUAAGAAGAGUGAAAUAAAAAAAGUGUCAAACUUGCAACCCCGUCCACCGUUGGCAUUGAAAUGAUGUUGGUUUUCUAAAAUAAAAUUGAGAUAAAAUCAGA